CCCUUAGACGUUCUGGGCCGCACGCGCGCUACACUGACCAGUGCAACAAGCAUCCGUCCUUGGCCGACAGGCCCGGGCAAUCUUUGAACGCUGGUCGUGAUGGGGAUAGACUUUUGCAAUUUUUGGUCUUCAACGAGGAAUUCCUAGUGAACGCAAGUCAUCAACUUGCAUUGAUUACGUCCCUGCCCUUUGUACACACCGCCCGUCGCACCUACCGAUUGAAUGGUCCGGUGAAGCCUCCGGAUUGGCGCGCACCUCGGUGCCGCCGAGAAGUUGGCUAAACCUUACCAUUUAGAGGAAGGUGAAGUCGUAACA
RNAcentral lists this ribosomal RNA (315 nucleotides) under uncultured eukaryote. RNAcentral's name for it is "partial 18S ribosomal RNA". It matches the Rfam family "Eukaryotic small subunit ribosomal RNA", at positions 1470 to 1796 of the family's 1831-position model. The record is from RNAcentral.